This 219-nucleotide ribosomal RNA is filed under the name Vibrio parahaemolyticus. RNAcentral describes it as "partial 16S ribosomal RNA". It matches the Rfam family "Bacterial small subunit ribosomal RNA", at positions 1 to 216 of the family's 1533-position model. The record is from RNAcentral. Lineage: Bacteria; Pseudomonadati; Pseudomonadota; Gammaproteobacteria; Vibrionales; Vibrionaceae.
AAAUUGAAGAGUUUGAUCAUGGCUCAGAUUGAACGCUGGCGGCAGGCCUAACACAUGCAAGUCGAGCGGAAACGAGUUAUCAGAACCUUCGGGGGACGAUAGCGGCGUCGAGCGGCGGACGGGUGAGUAAUGCCUAGGAAAUUGCCCUGAUGUGGGGGAUAACCAUUGGAAACGAUGGCUAAUACCGCAUGAUGCCUACGGGCCAAAGAGGGGGACCUU